GACGAACGCUGGCGGCGUGCUUAACACAUGCAAGUCGAGCGGAAAGGCCCUACGGGGUACUCGAGCGGCGAACGGGUGAGUAACACGUGAGUAAUCUGCCCUUGGCUUUGGGAUAACUACCGGAAACGGUGGCUAAUACCGGAUACGACAACCGUCUGCAUGGGCUGGUUGUGGAAAGUUUUUUCGGCCAGGGAUGUGCUCGCGGCCUAUCAGCUUGUUGGUGGGGUAAUGGCCUACCAAGGCUUCGACGGGUAGCCGGCCUGAGAGGGUGACCGGCCACACUGGGACUGAGACACGGCCCAGACUCCUACGGGAGGCAGCAGUGGGGAAUAUUGGACAAUGGGCGGAAGCCUGAUCCAGCAACGCCGCGUGAGGGAUGACGGCCUUCGGGUUGUAAACCUCUUUCAGUACCGACGAAGCGCCGAUGAUGGUGGUGACGGUAGGUACAGAAGAAGCACCGGCCAACUACGUG
Molecule: ribosomal RNA, 472 nt
Filed under: uncultured bacterium
Lineage: Bacteria
Description: partial 16S ribosomal RNA
Rfam family: Bacterial small subunit ribosomal RNA
Source: RNAcentral